Small nucleolar RNA from Lepus europaeus (European hare), 71 nucleotides. NCBI's taxonomy places the organism in Eukaryota, Metazoa, Chordata, Mammalia, Lagomorpha, Leporidae. The record is from RefSeq and is a predicted model, not a curated record.
CUGCGGUGAUGAGACCUCCGCGCUGAGCGCGGCGCUGAAGCGCACACACGAGCUUUUUAACCCUGAGCAGC